CCUACGUGAGGCAGCAGUGGGGAAUCUUCCGCAAUGGGCGAAAGCCUGACGGAGCAACGCCGCGUGAUCGAAUGAAGGCCUUCGGGUUGUAAAGAUCUGUUGACAGGGACGAAUAAGCCAUGCGAAUAGUUUGGUGUAUGACGGUACCUGUUUAGAAAGCUCCGGCUAACUACGUUCCAGCAGCCGCGGUAAUACGUAGGGAGCAAUCGUUGUCCGGUAUUACUGGGCGUAAGGGGCGCGUAGGUGGGUGCUUAAGUCAGGUGUGAAAACUCGGGGCUCAACCUGGUGACUGCACUUGAAAUGGGGUAUCUUGAGGGCAGGAGAGGAAAGUGGAAUUCCGGGUGUAGCGGUGAAAGGCGUAGAUAUUAGGAGGAACACCAGUGGCGAAGGCGACUGUCUGGACUGUACCUGACGCUGAGGCGCGAAAGCGUGGGUAGCGAACGGGAUUAGAUACCCCUGUAGUC
This 464-nucleotide ribosomal RNA is filed under the name uncultured bacterium. RNAcentral's name for it is "partial 16S ribosomal RNA". It matches the Rfam family "Bacterial small subunit ribosomal RNA", at positions 338 to 795 of the family's 1533-position model. The record is from RNAcentral.